RNAcentral lists this ribosomal RNA (253 nucleotides) under uncultured bacterium. RNAcentral's name for it is "partial 16S ribosomal RNA". It matches the Rfam family "Bacterial small subunit ribosomal RNA", at positions 524 to 776 of the family's 1533-position model. The record is from RNAcentral.
UACGGGGGGGGCAAGCGUUGUUCGGAAUUACUGGGCGUAAAGGGCGCGUAGGCGGCCUUCUAAGUCGGACGUGAAAUCCCUCGGCUUAACCGAGGAACUGCGUCCGAGACUGAAAGGCUUGAAUCCGGGAGAGGGAUGUGGAAUUCCUGGUGUAGCGGUGAAAUGCGCAGAUAUCAGGAGGAACACCGAUGGCGAAGGCAGGUCUCUGGGCAUUAACUGACGCUGAGGAGCGAAAGCAUGGGGAGCGAACAGG